This 1358-nucleotide ribosomal RNA is filed under the name Actinomyces oris. RNAcentral's name for it is "16S ribosomal RNA". It matches the Rfam family "Bacterial small subunit ribosomal RNA", at positions 90 to 1434 of the family's 1533-position model. The record is from RNAcentral. Lineage: Bacteria; Bacillati; Actinomycetota; Actinomycetes; Actinomycetales; Actinomycetaceae.
GAUGAGUGGCGAACGGGUGAGUAACACGUGAGUAACCUGCCCCCUUCUUCUGGAUAACCGCAUGAAAGUGUGGCUAAUACGGGAUAUUCUGUGCCUGCUGCAUGGUGGGUGUGGGAAAGAUUGCGCCUUUGGGUGUUUUUGGUGGGGGAUGGGCUCGCGGCCUAUCAGCUUGUUGGUGGGGUGAUGGCCUACCAAGGCGGUGACGGGUAGCCGGCCUGAGAGGGUGGACGGUCACACUGGGACUGAGACACGGCCCAGACUCCUACGGGAGGCAGCAGUGGGGAAUAUUGCACAAUGGGCGCAAGCCUGAUGCAGCGACGCCGCGUGAGGGAUGGAGGCCUUCGGGUUGUGAACCUCUUUCGCCAGUGAAGCAGGCCUGCCUCUUGGUGGGUGGGUUGACGGUAGCUGGAUAAGAAGCGCCGGCUACUACGUGCCAGCAGCCGCGUAUACGUAGGCGCGAGCGUGUCNGAAUUAUUGGGCGUAAAGAGCUCGUAGCGGCUGGUCGCGUCUGUCGUGAAAUCCUCUGGCUAACUGGGGCUGCGGUGGGUACGGGCCGGCUUGAGUGCGGUAGGGAGACUGGAACUCCUGGUGUAGCGGUGGAAUGCGCAGAUAUCAGGAAGAACACCGGUGGCGAAGGCGGGUCUCUGGGCCGUUACUGACGCUGAGGAGCGAAAGCGUGGGGAGCGAACAGGAUUAGAUACCCUGGUAGUCCACGCCGUAAACGUUGGGCACUAGGUGUGGGGGGCCUUNUCCGGGUCUUCCGCGCCGUAGCUAACGCAUUAAGUGCCCCGCCUGGGGAGUACGGCCGCAAGGCUAAAACUCAAAGGAAUUGACGGGGGCCCGCACAAGCGGCGGAGCAUGCGGAUUAAUUCGAUGCAACGCGAAGAACCUUACCAAGGCUUGACAUGUGCCGGUCGGCUCCGGAGACGGGGUUUCCUCCUUGUGGGGCCGGUUCACAGGUGGUGCAUGGUUGUCGUCAGCUCGUGUCGUGAGAUGUUGGGUUAAGUCCCGCAACGAGCGCAACCCUUGUCCCGUGUUGCCAGCACGUUGUGGUGGGGACUCGCGGGAGACUGCCGGGGUCAACUCGGAGGAAGGUGGGGAUGACGUCAAAUCAUCAUGCCCCUUAUGUCUUGGGCUUCACGCAUGCUACAAUGGCCGGUACAGAGGGCUGCGAUACCGUGAGGUGGAGCGAAUCCCUUAAAGCCGGUCUCAGUUCGGAUCGGUGUCUGCAACUCGACACCGUGAAGUUGGAGUCGCUAGUAAUCGCAGAUCAGCAACGCUGCGGUGAAUACGUUCUCGGGCCUUGUACACACCGCCCGUCACGUCAUGAAAAGUCGGCAACACCCGAAGCCCGUGGC